Long non-coding RNA from Amblyraja radiata (thorny skate), 336 nucleotides. RefSeq lists it as uncharacterized. The transcript is spliced from 3 exons. NCBI's taxonomy places the organism in Eukaryota, Metazoa, Chordata, Chondrichthyes, Rajiformes, Rajidae. The record is from RefSeq and is a predicted model, not a curated record.
UGGAAGCACGUGCAUCUGAGGUGCAGCGUCCACUGGUUCCUCAGCCUCGCCCGCCUCACUUCUAUGACCAGUACACAGACAGGCCCUAUGGAUUGCCGCGUGCAAUGGGGGGACAUCCACCAUUCCGUGCUGAACAGAGACACUCACCAUCACCUCUGAUGUUUGCAGAGCUGCAGCCUGCUCGAAAUCCACCUUUGCCUGUUGUUUACGGAGAGGUCCGUGCACAAAGUCCUUUUCAAGAAAGGGCAGAAGGUUGCGCUGACGUCAACUACCCCAGUUAACCCUCGGAAGCUGAGAAUAUUUUUUGUGGUGUUUCAAAUAACAGUUUGAGUUUUA